GGAUUGCUGUGCUCCAUUUAAGAUCCCAGACUGCAUCCCUGGUGAACAUCUAAACUGGGAUGCCUGGAAGACUACCCCUUCCAUUGUUGCUGGGGCCACCUCUGGACCACUGGAGAACACCUGUGCCUCACGGUCACAUUUCAAUAAUAACAUUGUGGUGAAGCUGGACUUGUUCCACUGCCUGAGGCACGGGAAUGCACCUCUGAGCAUCACCCUCUGUUUAGUACUUUCUGCCAGCUCCUCUCCGCAGCCUUCUCUGUGGUGGAUCAGGAGGACCUAGGGAGGCUCCAGGAUGCCUAUCGGUUCUGUGGUAUCCAUCCAGCCAAUCCCACCAAACAGCACAUACGGGAGCACUGCAGGACCAAAGUACCACAACCCACAGAGCUGCUAGACAGAGUGGAGAAAGUCCUAAAGCAUUUUCACCUGGCCAUGGACCCCAACAAUAUCCCACUAUUAAAGUCAUCCAUGCUGAAGACGUGGCGCAUACAGAGAGUGCACAUUCUCCGUGGUUGCCUCAGUGACCCUGAACUCUCAGAGGGCAUAAUGUACCGGUAUGGUGGAACUCUUCAGCUAAAUCACAUACCCGGUGAAGGCGCCAAAGUCCCCAUCUGGAUCCCUGUCAGAGGUACAUCACAGCAGGAAGGGUACCACUUUCACCAGGCCCAGUGGAUCACAGGGACUCAUGUCUCCACUGAAUUGUUCCAGGCCCAGGGCAUGACAGGGGUGGCACAGUGGAACCACCAACAGCUGCUGGACCUUAAGCAGCCAGGUGUCAUCCUUCCUGCUGUGUUUGAUCCAGCUCUAAUGGUUGAGUUAAAUUCUACCUCUAAGAGAGUGACUGGGGAGGAGAAGUAUCCUACACUUCAUCUCUCUGACAGAGACACCGGAGAGAGGUUUGGCCUAGAGUACACAGAGCCAGGCUGCCGUCCAGUCCCUCUGGAUUGGGACAAACACCGAACCCAAAAGAGAGGUGAACCAGCUGCUCUUGUGCCUCUGCCUCCUGUGCAGACACCCACUCCUGCCCAAGCCCAACCCCAAACUCCGGACACAGCACCUUCCUCCAGCCAGACACAGCUCUCCAACACAGCAUCCCCUGGACCAGCAUCAUCCAUUGGCCAUUUGCUCUCUGCUGGUGAACCUCCUGCAGUGAUAGAAAUAUCACAUGCUAAACCUGCUGCAAUCCAUAUGGUACAGAUGUUGUCACAAGGAAGCAUGGGACUUCCAGUUAAAAGGGGUAAGUUAAUACCACUUUCUAAGACCAACAUUUUAAAUAUCAGUGUAAAUGACUUUUUGUACUCAUCAACAUCAUCUCAGUAA
This is a long non-coding RNA of Cyprinus carpio (common carp), 1317 nucleotides long. Lineage: Eukaryota; Metazoa; Chordata; Actinopteri; Cypriniformes; Cyprinidae. The record is from Ensembl.